This 567-nucleotide ribosomal RNA is filed under the name Cladosporium nigrellum. RNAcentral describes it as "LSU rRNA". It matches the Rfam family "Eukaryotic large subunit ribosomal RNA", at positions 65 to 650 of the family's 3401-position model. Lineage: Eukaryota; Fungi; Ascomycota; Dothideomycetes; Cladosporiales; Cladosporiaceae. The record is from RNAcentral.
CCAACAGGGAUUGCCUCAGUAACGGCGAGUGAAGCGGCAACAGCUCAAAUUUGAAAUCUGGCUCACGCCCGAGUUGUAAUUUGUAGAGGAUGUUUCGGGUGAAGCCGCGGUCCAAGUCCCUUGGAACAGGACGUCAUAGAGGGUGAGAACCCCGUACCUGGCCGCCGGUGCCCCCCGCUGUGAAACUCCUUCGACGAGUCGAGUUGUUUGGGAAUGCAGCUCUAAAUUGGUGGUAAAUUCCAUCUAAAGCUAAAUACCGGCCAGAGACCGAUAGCGCACAAGUAGAGUGAUCGAAAGAUGAAAAGCACUUUGAAAAGAGAGUUAAAAAGUACGUGAAAUUGUUGAAAGGGAAGCGCUUGCGGCCAGACUUGCCCGCGGUUGCUCAGCCCGCCUUUUGGCGGGUGUACUCUUCCGCGGUCAGGCCAGCAUCGGUUUGGGCGGUCGGAUAAAGGCGUUGGGAACGUGGCCUCCCCUCGGGGAGGUGUUAUAGCCCGGCGCGCAAUGCGGCCAGCCCGGACCGAGGUUCGCGCUUUGCUAGGAUGCUGGCGUAAUGGCCGUAAGCGGCCC